GACCUCUUAGCUCAGUGGUAGAGCGUGAGAUUCCAGCCUCCUCAAGGUCGUCCGUUCAAUCCGGGCAGGGGUCA
This 74-nucleotide transfer RNA is filed under the name Rhizoctonia solani AG-1 IB. RNAcentral describes it as "tRNA-Trp". It matches the Rfam family "tRNA". From Rfam's summary of the family: Transfer RNA (tRNA) molecules are approximately 80 nucleotides in length. Their secondary structure includes four short double-helical elements and three loops (D, anti-codon, and T loops). The record is from RNAcentral. Lineage: Eukaryota; Fungi; Basidiomycota; Agaricomycetes; Cantharellales; Ceratobasidiaceae.